Molecule: ribosomal RNA, 445 nt
Filed under: uncultured bacterium
Lineage: Bacteria
Description: partial 16S ribosomal RNA
Rfam family: Bacterial small subunit ribosomal RNA
Source: RNAcentral
GUAAGGAAUAUUGGUCAAUGGGCGAGAGCCUGAACCAGCCAAGUCGCGUGAAGGAAGAAGGAUCUAUGGUUCGUAAACUUCUUUUGCAGGGGAAUAAAGUGCAGGACGUGUCCUGUUUUGUAUGUACCCUGAGAAUAAGGAUCGGCUAACUCCGUGCCAGCAGCCGCGGUAAUACGGAGGAUCCGAGCGUUAUCCGGAUUUAUUGGGUUUAAAGGGUGCGUAGGUGGUUUGAUAAGUCAGCGGUGAAAGUUUGCAGCUUAACUGUAAAAAUGCCGUUGAAACUGUCGGACUUGAGUGUAAAUGAGGUAGGCGGAAUGCGUGGUGUAGCGGUGAAAUGCAUAGAUAUCACGCAGAACUCCGAUUGCGAAGGCAGCUUACUAAGCUACAACUGACACUGAAGCACGAAAGCGUGGGGAUCAAACAGGAUUAGAUACCCUUGUAGUCC